ACAAUCCGUCGACUUUAUAAGUCGUGAGGGUUCAAGUCCCUCUAUCCCCA
This 50-nucleotide transfer RNA is filed under the name Calamagrostis epigejos. RNAcentral's name for it is "Calamagrostis epigeios partial tRNA-Leu". The record is from RNAcentral. Lineage: Eukaryota; Viridiplantae; Streptophyta; Magnoliopsida; Poales; Poaceae.